GUCCCACGGGCAACUGCCCCGGGCCCCUCUGACCGCCCGGGACAGCCCCGCGCUCCUCCCACGGUCACCGGAGCAGCUGCCCCCGGCCCCUGACGGCGUUCGGCCUCCCCCCGGCAGCUCCUGAGGUUUUUCCUGCAUCUGGGAAUUAGGACUCUGGGUGGUUAAGGGAAGGAAUCAGCAUGUGGGGAUCUGGUUCCUGCUGUUCCCAGGAAAGGUGAUGCAUUUGCAAGGACACGCGUGGUGCCAGGCUGGCAGUGUCACCGACCCCUCACCCGGGCUGAUCUGGGCUGUGUUUGCACUGGGGGUGUCACCAGAGCCUGGUCAGGAGAGGUGGAACCAGCACUUGGUGUCACGGGAGGUAAAAACAUUUCCCCUGUGUGUUUUGGAGUUUGUUAACUUAGGCUAAACUUCCUUUUUUUUUUGAGAGAGCAGGGUGGCAUGAGUUCCCAGUGCACAUGCUUGGAAGUCAUGGAAUGAGAGUAAAUAACUGUGGCCAGCUUUGGAGCAGGACAGGGAAAGGGUGUCAGGUGCAUUUACCACCCCUCCUCCAAAGCACAACACGGUUAGGAUUCAAACAUUUAAAAGAAACCCAUUGCAAAGUGUGUCUGAACCCCGUGAAACAAUUAAAACAUGGAUUAUUCCUGCCCAGACUUGAAUCCCAGGAUUGUUAUGUUGGAAAAGACCUGGAUUGUUAUGUGGAAAAGACCACAUCCAGGCAUGGGGAGCACAGCCCUGUCACCAGUUGAAUUUCAUGGAAUCUCCUGAGCUGGAAGGGCCCCACAAGGAUCAGCCUCACUGUCCCCCACCUGAUCAUUCCACGUGCCUUCCCCUCCAGACCCUCCACCAUCUUCAUAGCCCAAAAAAAUAACAAUCUUCUUAUUUUAUUUCCUUCCAAAUCCAAAUCCACGCUGGGUUUUUAAGGUUAAUGUCUUUAACUCUCUCUUUUCCACAUGUUCAUGCCUCUGUGUGCCCUUGACUGGAGGAGUUGCUGCAGGAUUUCAGAGUGUGAAGCAAUCCCUCCCCAGCAGUGUUUGGACAGCGUUUGGAGCUGGCUGGAUGUGCUGGGCUGGGCAGGCAGAGUGCAGGUGCAGGUUUUAGCAGGCCUGGAGCUCUGGGAGCAGCAGCCAGGAUGAACUCAGAGCCUGUUGUAAUCUCUGGUGUGGUAAGUUCUGUAUGUAGUUAUUAUCAGUGAUUUGGGACCAGCCCCUCAGCAAGCCAAGCACUCCCCCUCACUCCUGCAGCACUUGGGAUUUAGCACUGGAGAGGAUUAACCAACACCAAACCCUUCUCUUCAGCUCCUCCAUGAAAUACUCACUCAGAGGAGGAUUCUUUGUGUGGAAGACACAUCUAUAGCUAUGCAUUUAUGUCUACAGAAAUAUAAAUAAAAGUGUCCAUGCCCAAAUUUUCCAGAUUUAGUCCAAUGGAUGUGAGAAUAUGCUCUGUUCCCCCAAUAAUUUUAUUAACU
Non-coding RNA from Agelaius phoeniceus (red-winged blackbird), 1465 nucleotides. The record is from RefSeq and is a predicted model, not a curated record. Lineage: Eukaryota; Metazoa; Chordata; Aves; Passeriformes; Icteridae.